AGAGACAGGAGAGGGGGGAGAAAGAGAAUUUUAAAAAAAGUAGAAUUAUAUUGAAUAAUCUUGAAUGGUUCCUAAGUUACAACUCCCUGCACCGAUAUAUUAGCCAACAAUAUUAUGAUACAAUUAACAACUACUAACAACCAUAUAACGUUACACUAAAUCUCUUGCUACCUUCACAUCACAACAAAGUGUUGGCAAACCAAACCACCAUAUUGGUGAUGGAGAGUCCAAUUUAGGAAGAACGCUGCCUGUUUUAUUGAUUCACGCUCAUGGGCUCGUGAUUCUCAACAAUCUUCACAAACGCUCUGAAUAGAGCUCGAGUUAACUAUAUUUGUAACAAAUUGGGCUUGAUUAACAUCUAUUUUCAGUUUGAAGGGAGUGUUCUAG
This 387-nucleotide unclassified non-coding RNA is filed under the name Hevea brasiliensis (rubber tree). The record is from RNAcentral. Lineage: Eukaryota; Viridiplantae; Streptophyta; Magnoliopsida; Malpighiales; Euphorbiaceae.